ACGGCGAUAGCUCAGCUAGCGGAGCACCCGCCCGGUAAGCGGAAUGUUGCUUGUUCGAUUCUGGCUCGCUGUG
Molecule: transfer RNA, 73 nt
Filed under: Fasciola hepatica (liver fluke)
Lineage: Eukaryota; Metazoa; Platyhelminthes; Trematoda; Plagiorchiida; Fasciolidae
Description: tRNA-Thr
Rfam family: tRNA
About the family: Transfer RNA (tRNA) molecules are approximately 80 nucleotides in length. Their secondary structure includes four short double-helical elements and three loops (D, anti-codon, and T loops).
Source: RNAcentral